UACGGGGGGAGCAAGCGUUGUUCGGAUUUACUGGGCGUAAAGAGCUCGUAGGCGGUUCGUCGCGUCGGCUGUGAAAUCCCGAGGCUCAACCUCGGGUCUGCAGUCGAUACGGGCGGACUGGAGUUCGGCAGGGGAGACUGGAAUUCCUGGUGUAGCGGUGAAAUGCGCAGAUAUCAGGAGGAACACCGGUGGCGAAGGCGGGUCUCUGGGCCGAUACUGACGCUGAGGAGCGAAAGCGUGGGGAGCGAACAGG
Molecule: ribosomal RNA, 253 nt
Filed under: uncultured bacterium
Lineage: Bacteria
Description: partial 16S ribosomal RNA
Rfam family: Bacterial small subunit ribosomal RNA
Source: RNAcentral